GGCUCUUCUUGUCGAAAAAAGUAGCUACUGAUCCACGAAUUGCACUGAAUGAUACAGUGAAUCCUCAAUCAAAUUCAAUUCGUGAGGAGUUUCGAAACUAAAACUAAAAUGCCGGCAGCUCAUCAUUUUACCCGGAUAGACACAGCAGAGCUGAAAUUGGAGAUUGAGAGGAAGCUUGGGCACCCAAAAGCACAGAAGUAUUUUGAUCUCCUCACAAAGUUUCUGAGUCUUAAGAUUAGCAAAUCUGAUUUUGAUAGA
This 258-nucleotide unclassified non-coding RNA is filed under the name Hevea brasiliensis (rubber tree). The record is from RNAcentral. Lineage: Eukaryota; Viridiplantae; Streptophyta; Magnoliopsida; Malpighiales; Euphorbiaceae.